UUUGGUGAUUAUAGCAACGGGGCGCACCUGAAUCCAUUCCGAACUCAGCAGUUAAGCCCGUUAACG
Molecule: ribosomal RNA, 66 nt
Filed under: Mycoplasma todarodis
Lineage: Bacteria; Bacillati; Mycoplasmatota; Mollicutes; Mycoplasmatales; Mycoplasmataceae
Source: RNAcentral